This 405-nucleotide ribosomal RNA is filed under the name Bacteroidetes bacterium enrichment culture clone LiUU-16-748. RNAcentral's name for it is "bacterial SSU rRNA". It matches the Rfam family "Bacterial small subunit ribosomal RNA", at positions 509 to 916 of the family's 1533-position model. Lineage: Bacteria; Pseudomonadati; Bacteroidota. The record is from RNAcentral.
CAGCCGCCGCGGUAAUACGGAGGGUGCAAGCGUUAUCCGGAUUCACUGGGUUUAAAGGGUGCGUAGGCGGGCAGGUAAGUCAGUGGUGAAAUCCUGGAGCUCAACUCCAGAACUGCCAUUGAUACUAUCUGUCUUGAAUAUUGUGGAGGUAAGCGGAAUAUGUCAUUUAGCGGUGAAAUGCUUAGAUAUGACAUAGAACACCCAUUGCGAAGGCAGCUUACUACGCAUAUAUUGACACUGAGGCACGAAAGCGUGGGGAUCAAACAGGAUUAGAUACCCUGGUAGUCCACGCCCUAAACUAUGGAUACUCGACAUAUGCGAUACACUGUAUGUGUCUGAGCGAAAGCAUUAAGUAUCCCACCUGGGAAGUACGUUCGCAAGAAUGAAACUCAAAUGAAUUGACGG